RNAcentral lists this ribosomal RNA (498 nucleotides) under uncultured bacterium. RNAcentral describes it as "SSU rRNA". It matches the Rfam family "Bacterial small subunit ribosomal RNA", at positions 26 to 518 of the family's 1533-position model. The record is from RNAcentral.
AGAUUGAACGCUGGCGGCGUGCCUAACACAUGCAAGUCGAGCGGUAACAGGUGUAGCAAUACAUGCUGACGAGCGGCGAACGGGUGAGUAAUGCUUUGGAAUCUUCCCAGUAGUGGGGGAUAACCAGUCGAAAGAUUGGCUAAUACCGCAUACGUCUGUAAAGGGAAAGCGGGGGCUCGUAAGACCUCGCGCUAUUGGAUGAGCCAAAGUCGGAUUAGCUAGUUGGUGGGGUAAUGGCCUACCAAGGCGACAAUCCGUAGCUGGUCUGAGAGGACGACCAGCCACACCGGAACUGAGACACGGUCCGGACUCCUACGGGAGGCAGCAGUGGGGAAUAUUGGACAAUGGGGGAAACCCUGAUCCAGCGACGCCGCGUGUGUGAAGAAGGCCUGCGGGUUGUAAAGCACUUUUAGUGGGGACAAAAAGCUACGGAUUAAUACUCUGUGGUCUUGAUUUAACCCAAAGAAAAGCACCGGCUAACUCUGUGCCAGCAGCCGC